This 499-nucleotide ribosomal RNA is filed under the name uncultured bacterium. RNAcentral describes it as "bacterial SSU rRNA". It matches the Rfam family "Bacterial small subunit ribosomal RNA", at positions 30 to 518 of the family's 1533-position model. The record is from RNAcentral.
CGAACGCUGGCGGCGCGUCUUAAGCAUGCAAGUCGAACGGCAAGAGGUAGCAAUACCUCCUAGAGUGGCGGACUGGUGAGUAACACGUGGGUGACAUACCCUUCAGAUGGGAUAGCUAUUAGAAAUAGUAGAUAAUACCGAAUACGAGCACAGGGGUUAGAGAUCUGUGAGGAAAGGAGCUAAGGCUCCGCUGAAGGAAUGGCCUGCGGCCCAUUAGCUAGUUGGUGAGGUAAGAGCCCACCAAGGCGAUGAUGGGUAUCCGGCCUGAGAGGGUGGACGGCCACAUUGGAACUGAGACACGGUCCAGACUCCUACGGGAGGCAGCAGCUAAGAAUCUUCCGCAAUGGGCGAAAGCCUGACGGAGCCGGCGCCGCGUGAACGAAGAAGGCCGUGAGGUUGUAAAGUUCUUUUCGGGAGGGGGAACAACCGUGGCAGGGAAUGGCCGCGGGAUGACGUGAAUCCCGGAAUAAGCCCCGGCUAACUACGUGCCAGCCGCCGC